GAGAUGGGGUUUCGCCAUGUUGGUCAGGCUGGUUUUGAACUCCUAACGUCAGGUGCAGUGGCUCACACCUGUAAUCCCAGCAUGUUGGGAGGCUGAGGUGGGAGGACUGCUUGAGCCCAGGAGUUCAAAACCAGCCCGGGCAACAUAGCAAGAUCCCAUCUCAAUUAAAAAAAAAAUUUUUUUUAAAUAAAUAGAAGCUAUAGCAGCUAGGGAAAUCAGUAAGGAGACAUUUGAUGUCUACUACAAUCUCAAGAGCAAUCUCUAAAAGAUAUGAUUCUAAGAAUUAUUAUGGUACAAUGACAAAAAUGACAAUAAUUGUAUGAUAAAAGCAGUUCCAUUUUGGGAUGUUUUCUAUGUACCUAACCACUUUAUGUACAUUUUCUCAUUUAAUCCUUACAACAAUCUUACAAAUGUCAUCAUUUCUGUUUUACAAGUGCUGAAAUUUAGGCUUAGAAAAAUAAAAUGAUUUGACGAUUUGCUCAAGAUCAUACUAUUGAUAAAUGCCACAGCCAAGCUUUGAAAUCAGUUUGGCCUGACUUACUGUUAUGUACUAAACACUCUGGGGUGUUUAACAAAAAAAAAAAAAAAAAAAAGACUCUCCAUCUUAUUCCAGAAGUUGCUGUAAGUAACUUUGUUCUACUCAGGUUUGAGGAAGAUAACUGAGGUUAAGAUAAGCAGUCACUGAAAAGAAUGAAAAAUUACCACAUAGUAUUUAAACACACACACCUAACAUGGAAAUCUUUACAACUUGCUGCAAAUAACCUAUUUUAGAAUUACAAGACGCUUUCUUGUUUUCUUCUUGUUGCUGUUGUUAACCUUUAUUUUUUUCUUUGCUUUGCAACUGGAGCCUACUCAGAAUUGAUGGUCUUUAAGAGUUAUUCUUAGUUUAAUGAAGGAUGUUUAUUUUAAUUAAGAAAAAACAUAUUUAAGGAAGAAUCAGUAACGGUUUCUGACUUAGUUAACCAGAAACUGAACAAAGACCACAAUCAAUACAUGAAAUCUAGUUCUCUUGCCCCAGAACAAUAAGUACCAUUGUGGUCACAGCACUUUAAUGAAAUAAAUGCUAGAACUUAAUAUAGAAGAUAUCUAUUAAAAUCAUGGACAUGACAUAUGGGGACAUACUAAAAAGAUUCAGAGUUGAAUCCCAUAGAAGGUUAAGUGUGGAUAUGAGUGAACUAUUAACAAUAACUGCCAAGGUAAAAACAGACUUAUUCAACAAACUCUAAGCUAGAAGAACAAGGAAUACUUCAAAAACAAACAAACAAAAAAAGACAAUGAAAAGAAGUAUAGUAUAGCCCAUUAGGUAGUAAAUUUCUAUUGAUUCAUUACUCAAAU
This 1335-nucleotide long non-coding RNA is filed under the name Homo sapiens (human). Its description in RNAcentral is "HSALNT0062187". Lineage: Eukaryota; Metazoa; Chordata; Mammalia; Primates; Hominidae. The record is from RNAcentral.